RNAcentral lists this ribosomal RNA (253 nucleotides) under uncultured bacterium. RNAcentral describes it as "partial 16S ribosomal RNA". It matches the Rfam family "Bacterial small subunit ribosomal RNA", at positions 524 to 776 of the family's 1533-position model. The record is from RNAcentral.
UACAUGGGGUGCAAACGUUGCUCGGAAUUACUGGGCGUAAAGCGCACGUAGGCGGCGAUCUAAGUCAGAGGUGAAAGCCCGGGGCUCAACCCCGGAAUAGCCUUUGAGACUGGAUUGCUAGAAUCUUGGAGAGGCGGGUGGAAUUCCGAGUGUAGAGGUGAAAUUCGUAGAUAUUCGGAAGAACACCAGUGGCGAAGGCGGCCCGCUGGACAAGUAUUGACGCUGAGGUGCGAAAGCGUGGGGAGCAAACAGG